RNAcentral lists this long non-coding RNA (265 nucleotides) under Helianthus annuus (common sunflower). RNAcentral's name for it is "sRNA HanXRQr2_Chr02g0070971". Lineage: Eukaryota; Viridiplantae; Streptophyta; Magnoliopsida; Asterales; Asteraceae. The record is from RNAcentral.
UGGGAUAAAGAGAAAAUCUAAAAAGACAAUUUUCGAGGCCUUGAUUGCUCGUUCUCCCUCAAGGGCUUCUGGCACUGCCUCUAUAUGUAAUACUCAUGUAAGAGCAUGUAGCCAGAGCCUUGAGCAGAACGAAAAUUCAAUGUCUUGAUGUUACACAAUCUUAGCAAGUCAAAAUCGAUAUAUCGGGUUCAAAAAAUUGGGUAAAGACGUAAACAGUGGCGAAGCUUGACAAUGAAGACUAGUGGCGAAGCUUGACCCGAAUGGG